GAUCAUGGCUCAGGAUGAACGCUAGCGACAGGCUAACACAUGCAAGUCGAGGGGCAGCAUAAAAGUAGCAAUACUUGGUGGCGACCGGCGCACGGGUGAGUAACGCGUAUGCAACCUACCUAUCGAGAGGGGAAUAACCCGGCGAAAGUCGGACUAAUACCGCAUAAAACAGGGGCACCGCAUGGUGAUAUUUGUUAAAGAGAUUCGCUGAUAGAUGGGCAUGCGUUCCAUUAGGUAGUUGGUGAGGUAACGGCUCACCAAGCCGACGAUGGAUAGGGGAACUGAGAGGUUGGUCCCCCACACUGGUACUGAGACACGGACCAGACUCCUACGGGAGGCAGCAGUGAGGAAUAUUGGUCAAUGGGCGGGAGCCUGAACCAGCCAAGUCCGCGUGAAGGAAGAAGGAUCUAUGGUUCGUAAACUUCUUUUGCAGGGGAAUAAAGUGCAGGACGUGUCCUGUUUUGUAUGUACCCUGAGAAUAAGGAUCGGCUAACUCCGUGCCAGCCGCCGC
Molecule: ribosomal RNA, 511 nt
Filed under: uncultured bacterium
Lineage: Bacteria
Description: bacterial SSU rRNA
Rfam family: Bacterial small subunit ribosomal RNA
Source: RNAcentral